This is a long non-coding RNA of Oreochromis niloticus (Nile tilapia), 2657 nucleotides long. RefSeq lists it as uncharacterized. Lineage: Eukaryota; Metazoa; Chordata; Actinopteri; Cichliformes; Cichlidae. The record is from RefSeq and is a predicted model, not a curated record. The transcript has 4 exons.
UGAUCAGAUGCAAUAAACGUGGAGACGAACCCUCGCGCUUGUGCGAAAACGUGACGGACAGCGACACCAACAGGCGGGUUUAGGAAGCACACCCUGCCCUCCUCCCACCGGCGGUUAAGUGUAGAUGCAUUUAAGGACGAGCUGCUGGAAAUAAUAGAGGGCCUUCAGAGCAGGAUCGAUGCCACAGCCUGCGCCAUCUUCUGCAACUGGAAGCUCUCGCCAGCGUCUCCAGAAUACACAAUCAGUCUUUGUGAGCUUGUGGUCCCAAGUCUGGAUAAAUGGGGUGGUUGUGUUGUGUCAGCGAGGGCAUCUGGCAGCAUGUGGUUUCAUGUCUGUGGUGACCGCCUGGAGAUAAAGCAGCAGCUGAAAGUGUGGAGCACAUGAAAAGAAGGUAAGUGGACUUCCUUUGGUUCAUAAAGCUGUUUCAGCUCUCAUGCAGAGGUUUCCUCAAGUCCAAAACAACUGAUGAAGAGUCCCAGGUAACCUCGUGGUCGUCCUCGGGUGCUCGACCCUCAUUGAUCAUGUAAGUGUUCAGUUUUCUGGAUCUACACUCUGAGCAUCUAUAAAACCUAUAAUUCAUCUACUCUGGUCUGAAUCAGUUGAUGCGUUUGUACUUUUUCCUGUGGUUUGAUUUAAACUCUAAGUGACCCAACAUGCGUCACUACACACCACACGAGGACAUUCGAGCCGGUCCUCGGUCAGAUGUUUCUGGGCAGGAUGAAGGUGGCGUGUUCUGAGAGCAGGGAGAAAUAUCUUCAUUUCACAUCCCACAAUGCAAAACAUACGAGACUAUGGGAAGAUUUCUAGCCACAUUUGCACCGUAUACAUGUACGAAACUUCAGAAUAUCAAACUUUAGAAUUUGACCAACAUCUGAUGGAUGUGUGUUGGAUGACUAUGAUUGGUUGUUUUGUUUUUUCUACUCUAUACCUUUUCUUCUUCUUCUUCUUCUUCUUCUUCUGUUUCUGUUUCUGUCUUUGACUGCACUUCCUUCCUCUGCAUGUGUCCAAAACCAUCUCAGGCUCUCGAGCUUUGGCUCCAGGUACCUGAGCUGUUUAAAAUGUUGUCUGUAAUGUUUCAUGAUGAUGAGCUUCAUGACUGAAGCUGGUGGAGCUUUAACCUGUGAGUGUGUGACAACGAGGACACAGCCAUCAGUGUGGAUCUGUAAAUGUGUGCUAAUGGUUUCCAUGUCCACAGCCUCUGCUCCGGUCCCAGUACCACAGAUUUUAUCAUGAGACAGUAAACGUGAGGCCACAGAGACGUUACUACACAUCCACCCUCGCAGUUCACUGUCAGGGUGAGGAGUCAGUCACACAGAGACACACAACCAUUCACACCUACAGGUGAUGCAGAGUGACCAGUUACCCACCAGUUUGGACUGUGGGAGGAAGGACGCUGUAUUUAAAUGAAAUCUGAAAAUCUGUGAUGACUCCAGUACCCCCAGUUUGCACCUGUGGGGACAAAUCAGUGCAUUAGAGGUGGCGUCUGCUUCAUGAACUGUGCUGAGCGCCCUCUGUUGGAGUAAAAUAGCACCGCAGCCUGUUUAAGGCGAGCGCGGCACACCUGCUCCUCAUCACUUGUUGCCGUCCUGCAGUAUUUAAGGAGCGGCUCCUCUGCCAGGUUGCUGUAGCAGUGGAAGCUCUCUCGUUCCUCACCUCAGCCUGUGAGGAAACCUGCUGCACACUCUGAGUUUGUCAGUAAAAUCCUUGAACUGAACCUUCGUGUCUGCUUUUCUGAAUCCAGCUGUUCGUGUUGUGUUCAUGACGGAGGGACGAAUGCAUGUAUUCUAACUAAUGAGGGGGCUGUGUCCCCAGCAUCCCGCUGAAAUCUCUGUCUGUACUUAUUGGCUUUCCUACCUGAGCACAGCCAGCCGGUGACUGCGUGACCUGGAUGUGGUCGAUGGGUACAUACUGAGCAGCUUCCUGAACAAUUCCCUCAGCGUGAAGGUGCUGGCUGAGGCGCUGAGUGAGGCUGAGGGGCCUUUAAUGUCCAGCCCUGCGACACUGCAGUGCUCGCAUUUUCUGCAGAAAGCUGUUCGUUCCUCUUUGCUGUCAGCUCGUUAGCGUUCAGCAUGAAAACAUGCGACAGCAUUAAAAUAAAAGGUUUAUUGUUUAAGAAGUUAUCAUACAACAGGCAGUCGAUGUUUUUAUUCAGUUAUGGAGCGACAUAAAAAAGCUGGAAGGCCACCAACACAUCAGGAUUCAUUCUCAGCAUCAACGUCCCUGCAAACACUCUCAGCUGUCUGUCUGUGUUUGUCAGACAUGAAGCAACCUCCACCAGAGAUUACCUUCAUAUUUUCCAUUAAAUCUGUGGAGAUUAGGCAUAAAUCUCACCUAUGUUUCAGAGGAUGUGUGCCCUGCAUCGUGUGUGGUUUUAUAACAACAGAACCGUCAUAGCAGUCACAAACUGCGCUGGCAGUGCCUGCUGCCGAGUGUGAUACAUGGAGGUUAGAAGCUCUGGCUCCGGGCCUGCUCGCUCUGACUUUGUGUCUCAGGCAGAAAGUCAAAACCUUUUCAGAGGGACCGGAGCCAAAACUGCUGCAAAACUUUGCUUUACAAAACAGCGAACAACAGCCGCUGCAGCUCCAGAUGGAGUCUUUCAAAGUCACCUCCACUCUGAAAAGAACAUGUCAUCGCCAGCUUGUGUAAUUGUGCAUUCA